Molecule: ribosomal RNA, 434 nt
Filed under: uncultured Lachnospiraceae bacterium
Lineage: Bacteria; Bacillati; Bacillota; Clostridia; Lachnospirales; Lachnospiraceae
Description: partial 16S ribosomal RNA
Rfam family: Bacterial small subunit ribosomal RNA
Source: RNAcentral
ACGGGAGGCAGCAGUGGGGAAUAUUGCACAAUGGGCGAAAGCCUGAUGCAGCGACGCCGCGUGAGUGAAGAAGUAUCUCGGUAUGUAAAGCUCUAUCAGCAGGGAAGAAAAUGACGGUACCUGACUAAGAAGCCCCGGCUAACUACGUGCCAGCAGCCGCGGUAGUACGUAGGGGGCAAGCGUUAUCCGGAUUUACUGGGUGUAAAGGGAGCGUAGACGGUUUGGCAAGUCUGAAGUGAAAUGCGGGGGCUCAACUCCUGAACUGCUUUGGAAACUGUCGAACUAGAGUGCAGGAGAGGUAAGUGGAAUUCCUAGUGUAGCGGUGAAAUGCGUAGAUAUUAGGAGGAACACCAGUGGCGAAGGCGGCUUACUGGACGAUAACUGACGUUGAGGCUCGAAAGCGUGGGGAGCAAACAGGAUUAGAUACCCUGGUA